This 22-nucleotide microRNA is filed under the name Electrophorus electricus (electric eel). RNAcentral's name for it is "eel-miR-11056-5p". Lineage: Eukaryota; Metazoa; Chordata; Actinopteri; Gymnotiformes; Gymnotidae. The record is from miRBase by way of RNAcentral.
UAAACUGGCAAGUAGGAAACAU